This is a long non-coding RNA of Scylla paramamosain (green mud crab), 902 nucleotides long. RefSeq lists it as uncharacterized. Lineage: Eukaryota; Metazoa; Arthropoda; Malacostraca; Decapoda; Portunidae. The record is from RefSeq and is a predicted model, not a curated record. The transcript has 3 exons.
UUUUGCCAAACAAAAGGUUGCCAGUCAGUAGUGGCGGUGUGGUGCUUCUGCAGAUUUAUCGCCGCAAACCCAGGAAAUGGUGAAGGAAGUGACAAUGAAGAACCUUUGAUAUGGUCAGAAAAGUUCUCUUCACAAGGAACACAAACCAGACCCUCGCCCGGCUCCCACCGCCGCCCCCCGCCUCCAUACCCCCCAUAAGAGGGACAAGUCGCGCCGCGCCCUUCCCCUCCCCUCCCGCCCUGCUUGCCUCUGCCCUCCACUCUCCCACGACGGUGUACUGAUGGAUAAGUAAGGAGAGCAAGCCAUACCCCGCUACCAGAUCGUUCCGUCCCGCCACGACCGCCGCUCUUCCAGUCUCACCGUCAACCCUGCCACUGGAUCACCUAGCAAACUCCAGUAUCCGUAUAUGCUUCACGAAGUAACCACCAGCACUAGUGAAUAUAAAUGAAUUAAAGAUAAAUAGAUGAAAAAUAAAUUCUUUCGGUAUCCUUCAGGGAUUCAAGCUACCCCAGGCCCCUGGGUAAGUGACGCCCCUGGAAGGACAUCUGCACACAGCCUGCCAUGGUCUCGCCGGGCCGCCGCCGCAAGCCACGCUGCAAAAUUGUUGCUGUGUCAGGCUUCAGCGUUGCUCUUUUUAACCUACUUUUAAAGGGGAAAGUUUUUAAUGCUCUAAAUAUAGCCUUUUUAGAUUAUAAACAUUUAGCGCACAGUAAAGACUUUAAUGAUAAGAGUUUUUUUUAUUUGCUGCCACUAAUUACAGCGCUUGACUUCUAAUGUUUAUUGAUUCAUCAGCAUACUUUAAAUGCAAGCGUAGUUUACAAGUGAGUAAGCAUGUGCGCCUGCUUACGCAAGCCAGGAAGAAAAAAAAAAAAAGAAUGGAAAUUGGUCAGUAUUAUAUGAAA